UCAGUUGAGAGAAGAAAAAGUAUGUGUGAGGAUAGGUCUGUGGUACUCUACCCUUUCUCUCCAACCCAAUAACGUAUUCUUUCUUUUGAGUCUAUGUUGAGAACGAUGACCUUUGGAGUGAUGAACAAGUGAAGGUGGUGGCAUCAGGCCUCUCUAUGUCUAACGUGGCAACUUCUCUUGGCUCUUUCCCAAAUCUAAUCCAGCCCAACAUGGGCCCUUCAUCUAAAGUUCUCGUUAGAAGAUGGCAGAAUCAGCUAAUGAAGGAGUGGUAACAACUAUUCUUGCUGUAUUUGAAAAGGCCAUGAUGUGCCACCAAUGGGAACCAUCUGAAAGGCUGCUGGAAUAAUGUCAUUGUGAAAUGUAGAGUACAGCAUAUGCAGGUGUUAUAACGUCUUGCUUUUGUUUGCUGAAACCCAGCUUGGAUGGAAUCUAGUCAGAAACGUGAGCAACUCAGAACUCGCAUGUGAUGGGAAUUAAAAUAAAUUUCGAUAUUUCAAGAUUCUGCUUUUAAUAAACCAAAGGAAAUGGCAAAAAGGAAAAAAAAAGAUACACAGACUGUCAAAGUACAACUAUCAAUCAAAAAGCUUUGUUGCGCUGCCUCUCUGCACAUGGCGCUGUAUGCCAGGCACUCUCCCUGCAAUCGAGUGAAAUGGGGAAUCUUUGCCCCGAGGGAAAUGACAAUGGAAGAUCAAGCUGAUGGGGACAGACAAGAAGGGAAGCAUACUCAUUUCUAGUCUCACUAUUUUUAGCACCCUGUCCUCCUCAUCCCCAUUCCCAGAUGCUCAGUUGCCAGGAAUCUUCCAUUGAGGCAUUCCAUAUACUUUAUUGUACCUUCCUGAUACAGACCUUUAUGGGCUCACUCAGUCAAAAAUGACCUGUCCUGUGUCCCACUGGUAGGCUCUCCAAAAUGGCAUGUGCUUGCCUAGGCAAAAUGUCAGCUCUUCUAAGGCAGCCACCAUGCCUCUCUUGUUUAUCCCACAAAACCUGGCACAGUGGGUCUAAUAAAUGAUUGUUGAAUAACUGAA
This is a non-coding RNA of Phascolarctos cinereus (koala), 1025 nucleotides long. The record is from RefSeq and is a predicted model, not a curated record. NCBI's taxonomy places the organism in Eukaryota, Metazoa, Chordata, Mammalia, Diprotodontia, Phascolarctidae.